UACGGAGGGUGCAAGCGUUAUCCGGAUUCACUGGGCUUAAAGGGUGCGUAGGCGGACAGGUAAGUCAGUGGUGAAAUCUCUGGGCUUAACCCAGAAACUGCCGUUGAUACCAUCAUUCUUGAAUAUCGUGGAGGUGAGCGGAAUAUGUCAUGUAGCGGUGAAAUGCUUAGAUAUGACAUAGAACACCGAUUGCGAAGGCAGCUCACUACGCGAUUAUUGACACUGAGGCACGAAAGCGUGGGGAUCAAACAGG
Molecule: ribosomal RNA, 253 nt
Filed under: uncultured bacterium
Lineage: Bacteria
Description: partial 16S ribosomal RNA
Rfam family: Bacterial small subunit ribosomal RNA
Source: RNAcentral